AACGAACGCUGGCGGCAUGCCUAACACAUGCAAGUCGAACGAGACCUUCGGGUCUAGUGGCGCACGGGUGCGUAACGCGUGGGAACCUGCCCUUAGGUUCGGAAUAACUCCCCGAAAGGGGUGCUAAUACCGGAUAAUGUCUUCGGACGAAAGAUUUAUCGCCUUUGGAUGGGCCCGCGUUGGAUUAGCUAGUUGGUAGGGUAAAAGCCUACCAAGGCGACGAUCCAUAGCUGGUCUGAGAGGAUGAUCAGCCACACUGGGACUGAGACACGGCCCAGACUCCUACGGGAGGCAGCAGUGGGGAAUAUUGGACAAUGGGCGAAAGCCUGAUCCAGCAAUGCCGCGUGAGUGAUGAAGGCCUUAGGGUUGUAAAGCUCUUUUACCCGGGAUGAUAAUGACAGUACCGGGAGAAUAAGCGCCGGCUAACUCCGUG
RNAcentral lists this ribosomal RNA (433 nucleotides) under uncultured bacterium. RNAcentral describes it as "partial 16S ribosomal RNA". It matches the Rfam family "Bacterial small subunit ribosomal RNA", at positions 29 to 507 of the family's 1533-position model. The record is from RNAcentral.